GCUUAUGGCCGCACUACCGUGAACACACACAAUCUUGUUUGAUCUUGGAAGCUAAGCAGGGUCAGACCUAGUUAGUAUGUGGAUGGGAGAAAUGGACACCAUACUGC
This 107-nucleotide ribosomal RNA is filed under the name Mus musculus (house mouse). Lineage: Eukaryota; Metazoa; Chordata; Mammalia; Rodentia; Muridae. The record is from RNAcentral.